This 468-nucleotide ribosomal RNA is filed under the name uncultured bacterium. RNAcentral describes it as "partial 16S ribosomal RNA". It matches the Rfam family "Bacterial small subunit ribosomal RNA", at positions 28 to 507 of the family's 1533-position model. The record is from RNAcentral.
GACGAACGCUGGCGGCGUGCUUAACACAUGCAAGUCGAACGGAAAGGCCCUGCUUUUGUGGGGUGCUCGAGUGGCGAACGGGUGAGUAACACGUGAGUAACCUGCCCUUGACUUUGGGAUAACUUCAGGAAACUGGGGCUAAUACCGGAUAGGAGCUCCUGCUGCAUGGUGGGGGUUGGAAAGUUUCGGCGGUGGUGGCUGGACUCGCGGCUUAUCGGCUUGUUGGUGGGGUAGUGGCUUACCAAGGCUUUGACGGGUAGCCGGCCUGAGAGGGUGACCGGCCACAUUGGGACUGAGAGACGGACCAGACUCCUACGGGAGGCAGCAGUGGGGAAUAUUGCACAAUGGGCGGAAGCCUGAGGCAGCAACGCCGCGUGCGGGAUGACGGCCUUCGGGUUGUAAACCGCUUUCGCCUGUGACGAAGCGUGAGUGACGGUAAUGGGUAAAGAAGCACCGGCUAACUACGUG